ACUCCUACGGGAGGCAGCAGUGGGGAAUAUUGCACAAUGGGCGCAAGCCUGAUGCAGCCAUGCCGCGUGUGUGAAGAAGGCCUUCGGGUUGUAAAGCACUUUCAGUCGUGAGGAAGGUAGUGUAGUUAAUAGCUGCAUUAUUUGACGUUAGCGACAGAAGAAGCACCGGCUAACUCCGUGCCAGCAGCCGCGGUAAUACGGAGGGGUGCGAGCGUUAAUCGGAAUUACUGGGCGUAAAGCGCAUGCAGGUGGUUUGUUAAGUCAGAUGUGAAAGCCCGGGGCUCAACCUCGGAAUUGCAUUUGAAACUGGCAGACUAGAGUACUGUAGAGGGGGUAGAAUUUCAGGUGUAGCGGUGAAAUGCGUAGAGAUCUGAAGGAAUACCGGUGGCGAAGGCGGCCCCCUGGACAGAUACUGACACUCAGAUGCGAAAGCGUGGGGAGCAAACAGGAUUAGAUACCCUGGUAGGACAGUG
This 473-nucleotide ribosomal RNA is filed under the name uncultured bacterium. RNAcentral describes it as "bacterial SSU rRNA". It matches the Rfam family "Bacterial small subunit ribosomal RNA", at positions 335 to 799 of the family's 1533-position model. The record is from RNAcentral.